GAUGAACGCUGGCGGCGUGCCUAAUACAUGCAAGUCGAGCGAACGGACGAGAAGCUUGCUUCUCUGAUGUUAGCGGCGGACGGGUGAGUAACACGUGGAUAACCUACCUAUAAGACUGGGAUAACUUCGGGAAACCGGAGCUAAUACCGGAUAAUAUUUUGAACCGCAUGGUUCAAAAGUGAAAGACGGUCUUGCUGUCACUUAUAGAUGGAUCCGCGCUGCAUUAGCUAGUUGGUAAGGUAACGGCUUACCAAGGCAACGAUGCAUAGCCGACCUGAGAGGGUGAUCGGCCAAACUGGAACUGAGACACGGUCCAGACUCCUACGGGAGGCAGCAGAAGGGAAUCUUCCGCAAUGGGCGAAAGCAUAACGGAGCAACGCCGCGUGAGUGAUGAAGGUCUUCGGAUCGUAAAACUCUGUUAUUAGGGAAGAACAUAUGUGUAAGUAACUGUGCACAUAUUGACGGUAACUAAUCAGAAAGCCACGGCUAACUACGUG
RNAcentral lists this ribosomal RNA (497 nucleotides) under uncultured bacterium. RNAcentral describes it as "partial 16S ribosomal RNA". It matches the Rfam family "Bacterial small subunit ribosomal RNA", at positions 28 to 507 of the family's 1533-position model. The record is from RNAcentral.